RNAcentral lists this unclassified non-coding RNA (583 nucleotides) under Hevea brasiliensis (rubber tree). The record is from RNAcentral. Lineage: Eukaryota; Viridiplantae; Streptophyta; Magnoliopsida; Malpighiales; Euphorbiaceae.
GGAAUAAGAUUUGCGAAUUUCUGGCAUUUUCAUUCACAGCGAUUGAUACAAUCCAGGCUCCUCUUUCUGUAAAGCCAGCUUAAUGCACUCACACAAUACUUUGCUGACUUACUUUUCCUCCUGCUUUGUAACUUCAUUCCUUACAUGCUUUUAGUGUAUUGGGUAGUAAUUGAUGGAUAAUUGUGUUGCCCAGCAAAUUCUUUAUGUCAAUCUUCUGAAUGACAAAAGUAUACAUUGGUAGAAUUGGUCAACCAGGAGAUCAUUGAUUAGUGGACAUGCUGCUUCUCAAAGUCCAAGAUAUGAAAAAAUAUUGCUUCAGUUGACUUUCUUCUUAGAUGGACUUGUUUACAUGAUAUUAUUAAUAAUGAUUUUACACUGCAAACAUUUGAUAUUCGUUUAUGCAUAGUAAAAAUGCUCUUUUCCAAGGAUAAAGGGCUUUUAACUUACAAGAUUUAUGUGUGCUUGGUUGAGCCCUUGCAAUAAACUUAGCUUGCCUCAUUUUCUUCUUCCCGUGUCCAUGUUUUUAAAAUGGGUACAUAUUUCUAGAAGUAUCUUUUAGUUUUUCCUCUUUUUGGAGUUUGGU